CCUCUUGUGUGAUUUGUGCGUGAAAGGGCGUUAGCACUUUUACGGAGAUAUCGCGCGACUGACUAUGGUAAAUAGUCGGAAGUUGGAGGCAAUAACAGGUCUGUGAUGCCCUUAGAUGUUCUGGGCUGCACGCGCGCUACACUGACGCAGGCAGCGAGUUUGGCUUUUUUGAGAAAAACGGCAAAUCUUGUAAACUGCGUCGUGCUGGGGAUAGAUUAUUGCAAUUAUUAGUCUUGAACGAGGAAUUCCUAGUAAGCGCAAGUCAUCAGCUUGCGUUGAUUACGUCCCUGCCCUUUGUACACACCGCCCGUCGCUACUACCGAUUGAAUGGCUUAGUGAGGUCUUUUGAGUUUUAAAAAGCGCCGCAAGGUGCUUUUUGAGGCAAUAUUGAACAAACUUGGUCAUUUAGAGGAAGUAAAAGUCG
This 424-nucleotide ribosomal RNA is filed under the name Microsporidia sp. clade III. Its description in RNAcentral is "SSU rRNA". It matches the Rfam family "Eukaryotic small subunit ribosomal RNA", at positions 1341 to 1791 of the family's 1831-position model. The record is from RNAcentral. Lineage: Eukaryota; Fungi; Microsporidia.